This is a long non-coding RNA of Camellia sinensis, 1080 nucleotides long. RefSeq lists it as uncharacterized. Lineage: Eukaryota; Viridiplantae; Streptophyta; Magnoliopsida; Ericales; Theaceae. The record is from RefSeq and is a predicted model, not a curated record.
AAAUAUUGAUUGAUUGAGAUAUUUCUCUCCCUAAAUUCUUUCUUUCUUUCUCUCUCUCUCUAAAUUCUCUCUCAUUCUUAAUUAGGCUCAUCAUCAUUUGGUAUCAAAGCAAAGAUCUUGAUCCUAUUUUCUCAGAUUCUAAGUAGUUCAUUAUCUAAUGCUACACUAUGAUACUCACAUACCUGAUUGGAAGCUUUAUUAUUGUUGAGUUACGAUCGAUUGAACCUACUAAUUUUUGAAGACCCAUCAAUUUCGCAGAACCCUGGAUUUCGAAAUUCAAACUGUUCUUGAUCAUCACCUUCGUGAGUCGAUAGCUAAAGGAAAUCGACAAUUUUGAAGCCCUAAUCGAAGACCUCAGUGGGAAUCGCCAAUUGCGAUGUCUAUUUUAUCAAUAUCGAUUGUACCUUCGAAGCCCUAAAAUACAACAAGUUCAAGUUUGACAUUUGGGGUUUCAUAGUUCGAAGCUUUGGCCUAUUCGAAGUCGUGAUCUGGAUUGGUAGUCAGUUUCGCUCGACGCCACAGAUCAAAUCUCCCUGGGCCUCUGGAAUUCUUCGCUAUUCGUCCCUAUUCGAGCAUCAAUUUCGAGUCGACUUCGCACAUUUGUGCGAUUCACUGGUGACUUCUGUUUGAGAGGAAAUUUUGGUCAAAGGGUUGGGCUUGUUUGGGAGGUUAGAAUUAAGCAUAGCUUGUUCUUGGGUCACGCAACUUCAAUUCUGGUAAAAGCUUGGUUGCUGGGUAAUGUCGACUCUCAUGUUACAGACUGUUGAACCAAUCUGGGUUAUUUAACUUGUGGGGAAAACACGAAGGUGGAUUUGUUUUAGUUCUAGCUUUAGAAAUGGUGGCAACGUUGGUGGCAGAGAAAGGGAAAAGAGAUAUGACAAAAGGCAAUCUUUCCAAUUGGCCCAUAGUUCUACUUUAAGACAACAAAGGUCCAAUUUGUUUGUUGGUUCACAAUUUGAUGCAAGAUGAGUUUAUGAUUGGUAGGAUAGAAAAGAAGAAAUAUUGUGUAUUUUGUAUUACAGAUUUCUUCAAAAACUACAUUAUUUCUUUGCCUUGUUAUAUUAUUUUUUUCAACGAUAA